Molecule: ribosomal RNA, 253 nt
Filed under: uncultured bacterium
Lineage: Bacteria
Description: partial 16S ribosomal RNA
Rfam family: Bacterial small subunit ribosomal RNA
Source: RNAcentral
UACAGAGGGGGCAAGCGUUGUUCGGACUUACUGGGCGUAAAGGGCGCGUAGGCGGCUUAACAAGUCACUUGUGAAAUCUCCGGGCUUAACUCGGAACGGCCAAGUGAAACUGUCAAGCUAGAGUGCAGAAGGGGCAAUCGGAAUUCUUGGUGUAGCGGUGAAAUGCGUAGAUAUCAAGAGGAACACCUGAGGUGAAGACGGGUUGCUGGGCUGACACUGACGCUGAGGCACGAAAGCGUGGGGAGCAAACAGG